This 802-nucleotide long non-coding RNA is filed under the name Homo sapiens (human). Its description in RNAcentral is "non-protein coding lnc-OR4F29-4:1". Lineage: Eukaryota; Metazoa; Chordata; Mammalia; Primates; Hominidae. The record is from RNAcentral.
UAGACAGAUUUGUUUAUAUUUGACUUUCUAAAAACCUGUUACUAGAAAGGCACAUUAAUACAUUUCUCCUGUGCUGAUAGUAAUCAGGCAAUUCUCUAAAUCUCUGUGGCUCAACAUGGAGCUCUGCCUGUCAUGGUCACUUGGGACCCAGGCUUUGGGUAUAAGGCUACAGCACAUGGAAAACGUAUGAAUGUCUCUCAGAUUCUUAAAGCUUCUGCUGGAAGUGACAUGUCAUUCUGCUCACAGUUCAUUGGCUAAAUGAGUCACGUGGCUCUCUCUAACUUCAAGGAUGGUAUGAAAUUGCAAUCCUACCAUGUUUCUAGAAGGAGAACCAGCCCUAAUCACAAUGCUACAUGUUGGAGCACAAUGGAGUCCUUAGUAAUGGACUCCAUCUCUUCCAUCAGAUAAAAUGUUGAGAACUGAAGUUAAAAUUUGAAUAAUGAAACCAAAGGAAAAAAAAUUAAAUGAAUUUUAAGACAAUUGAGAUAAGAACAACUGUGGCAUCAGCAUAAUUCAAUUUAAUAAUGUAUUAAAUAUUUUGCAGAAAAGUGAAAACAAAUUGAUAGCCAAAUCAAUGCAGCAUUAAGCCACCAUGUGGUCUAAUUUCUUGCUGAAUUGACAAAACAAAACACUAGUUUAGUUAUAUAAACAUGGCUGAUGUUUAUACAAACAACAGAAUUUGCCGGUAGCAUUAUCACUGGAAAAUAAGAUGUGUACUUAAUUCUUGUAUGUUCUGAGCCCAUCUAGGAAGAACAUAAAAGACGAAGAACAAAGCAAUCACAGGAUGUUAUCAUGAAAAUAU